UACGGAGGUGGCAAGCGUUGCUCGGAAUCACUGGGCGUAAAGGGCGCGUAGGCGGGGAGGUAAGUCGGGUGUGAAAUCCCUCGGUCCAACCGAGGAACUGCGCCCGAGACUGCUUCUCUUGAGUCCCGGAGAGGAAGGUGGAAUUCCCGGUGUAGCGGUGAAAUGUGUAGAGAUCGGGAGGAACACCGGUGGCGAAGGCGGCCUUCUGGACGGUGACUGACGCUGAGGCGCGAAAGCGUGGGGAGCAAACGGG
This 253-nucleotide ribosomal RNA is filed under the name uncultured bacterium. RNAcentral's name for it is "partial 16S ribosomal RNA". It matches the Rfam family "Bacterial small subunit ribosomal RNA", at positions 524 to 776 of the family's 1533-position model. The record is from RNAcentral.